UUAAGUUCAGCGGGUAGUCCUACCUGAUUUGAGGUCACAUUAAUGAAAAAUUGUCCAAGUCAAUGGACUAUUAGAAGCUGAACCUGUUUUGCGUCAAAAGCGUAGAUAGUUAUCACACCAAUGAACGGGGUCAACAAAUUGUUCUGCUAAUGCAUUUUAGGGGAGCCGACCUCAAAAGAGACCAGCAAAAAGACCCCCAC
This 200-nucleotide unclassified non-coding RNA is filed under the name Cortinarius sp. RNAcentral's name for it is "partial internal transcribed spacer 2". Lineage: Eukaryota; Fungi; Basidiomycota; Agaricomycetes; Agaricales; Cortinariaceae. The record is from RNAcentral.